GCUCUCCAGCAGCAGGGUUCGAGACCCCUGGUAUAGACUCUGCACUAUUGUACAGUAAACUUUCACAACAUUCUUGAAUAAAUUAUUUAUUCGUUGCAUGCUGGUCUGUUAUUGUAAGGACAUCGGCUUUACAUUUUCACUAGCCCCUAAACAAGACACUGAACCAAACAAACAAACUUUUAUUAGUUGCUUUACAUGUCUGUUAGAUGGCCUGUUGGAUGGUCUAUGGCAGGGUUCUCCAACCCAUGCUGCUGGAGAGAUACCAUCCUACAGAUUUCAGCUCCAACCCCAAUCAGGCACACUUGAACCAGGUAAUAAAGGUGUUCAGGGCUACUUGUGAAAUGCAUGCAGGCGUAUUGGAGAAAGGUUGGAAGUCAAGUCUGCAGAAAGAUAGCUUUCCAGGAGCAGCGUUGGAGAUCCCUGGUUUAUGGCCAAUGAAGGACUAAAAUCCCAGCAUUCUGAUUUUCAACUGCAGUGGUGCACCAGGAGUGGUACCCGGUGGGGUCUCCUGCUAUAGCCCUUUGGCUUCAAGGUUUGAUAUGUUACGCAUUCAGAGAUGCUCUUCUGCAUACACCGGUUGUAACAAGUGGCUGUUAGAGUUACUGUUGCCUUUCUGUCAGUUCAGUAACCAUUUUCCUCUGACCUCUGCCAUCAACAAGGUACUUUCGCCCACAGAACUGCCACUCACUUGAUAUUUUCUCAUUUUCAGA
Molecule: long non-coding RNA, 710 nt
Organism: Carassius carassius (crucian carp)
Lineage: Eukaryota; Metazoa; Chordata; Actinopteri; Cypriniformes; Cyprinidae
Exons: 3
Source: RefSeq, a predicted model, not a curated record